CUCUCUCUUCUCCCCUUUGCAACAGGAAGUGAAUGCUUGUAUGCAAUUGUUAUGUGCACUCUAGAAAUUAGGGGUUAAAGAAGGGUUCUUCUAAGAUCCUCAAAGUUCUUUGAAGAACCUUAGUGUUAUUGUCACUGAAUAUUGACCAGAAAAGUUUUGUCCAAGAACCCCAUAGGAGGUGGGGUUCAUCGAGGAACCUCCUCAGUUGGUGGGGGAUUCUUGCAGGAACCUAACUGCCCAACUGAAACAUUUGGAUUUGAAUUUGAAAGGACUGCAGGUGCAGGCAGGUGCAACUUAAACAUGUAAAGAUCUCCUUAAUUUAAGGUUUGUCCCUUGUAUGAUCUAAAUUGAUAUUGUUUUAUAAUGAUACUAUCUAUCUUUUCAUAACUUUCUAAAAACAGAAAAUGAACACAAUUCAAUGGAUAUCAAUCAACAAAGAGGUAUACAGAUGAGGAGGCAUACAAAGGUAUGCAAUAGGUAUUGGUAUGUUAUGCAGAUCAUCCUCCUCCCUUACUUCUUCAAUGAAAAUAUCAUAGGCCUCUACGUUAUGGACAAGACUUCACCCUCCCUACACCUCUGAUGAAUAUAUCAGGAAACCUGUUCGAUCACCAUGCACUGCAAAAUCAUUCGGUCUAUGGAUACGGAGAACAUCAACACAUUAACAUCAACAGGACAAAGGUGUGGUUAUACUGUAAGCCUAUCAAAGAUGGUGGAUGAAUGAAGAUGUCUUACUCAGGCAGUUUACCAUUGGAAAAAAUGGUCAAGGUUCCUGUCUGUGUAAGUUGGCGUUCCCAUGUGAGAGCAAUGGCUCUGGUCUACUUAUUGUCUCUCCCCGCUCUCCCCACCCACAGGGGGAAAUAAGUAGACCAGAGUGGCGCCACCCCCAGAGUGGGAUGUCUUGCUUUCUCUACCGCCUCUGGAUCUAUACUGUAUUACUUACCCCUAAAUGUACCUAUUGGUGCUUUGUUUCCAUCCCACAUAAUUGAUUUUUAAAGACAAUACAUAGGCCAGUACCUAAAUUAUUUUUUACAAAACCACACACACAAUGGUUUUGACUUGUAGAUAUGACUGAAUGAUUUUGUCACGUUGUUUCUUAUUGUGUUGCUGUAAGCCUAUGUGUAGGCCUGUGUUUUGUCUAUUACAAUAAAUUGUUUGAACUAAAGUCUCUCAUUUGAAAUGAAUAAU
Molecule: long non-coding RNA, 1185 nt
Organism: Oncorhynchus kisutch (coho salmon)
Lineage: Eukaryota; Metazoa; Chordata; Actinopteri; Salmoniformes; Salmonidae
Exons: 3
Source: RefSeq, a predicted model, not a curated record